RNAcentral lists this long non-coding RNA (10975 nucleotides) under Arabidopsis thaliana (thale cress). RNAcentral's name for it is "long non-coding RNA (ATHA_LNC000285)". Lineage: Eukaryota; Viridiplantae; Streptophyta; Magnoliopsida; Brassicales; Brassicaceae. The record is from RNAcentral.
CCUCAGAAUAGCGAUAGAAGUCGCUGGAACUCUUGCUUAUCUUCACUCCUCUGCUUCUAUUCCAAUCAUCCAUCGCGAUAUCAAAACUGCAAAUAUUCUCUUGGAUGAAAACUUAACUGCAAAAGUAGCCGACUUUGGCGCUUCUAAGCUUAUACCAAUGGAUAAAGAGCAGCUCACAACUAUGGUGCAAGGCACUCUAGGCUAUUUAGACCCAGAAUACUAUACCACAGGGCUUCUGAACGAGAAGAGCGAUGUGUAUAGCUUUGGGGUAGUCCUCAUGGAACUGCUCUCAGGUCAAAAGGCAUUGUGCUUUGAACGGCCACAGGCUUCAAAACAUUUGGUGAGUUACUUUGUUUCUGCCACGGAAGAGAAUAGGUUGCAUGAGAUUAUUGACGACCAAGUGUUGAACGAGGAUAAUCUGAAGGAGAUCCAGGAAGCUGCAAGAAUUGCUGCAGAGUGUACAAGGCUAAUGGGAGAGGAAAGGCCAAGGAUGAAAGAAGUAGCUGCAAAGCUAGAAGCCUUGAGGGUCGAGAAAACCAAACAUAAGUGGUCGGAUCAGUAUCCUGAGGAGAAUGAACACUUGAUUGGUGGUCACAUCUUGUCUGCACAAGGCGAAACCAGUAGCAGCAUUGGCUAUGAUAGCAUCAAAAAUGUAGCAAUAUUGGACAUUGAAACUGGCCGCUGAUAUUGCUCACAAAAUCACAUGUAUCUCUUUUGUUUGUAAAAAAAGAAAACCACUUAUUUGUUGCUUCAUCAAUAUGCUUUGAGAGCUUGUUUGUUCAUCAUCAAUAAUCAUGUUCAUAUUUUCCUUUACUUGGUAUACUAUGGUGCAAGGCACUCUAGGCUAUUUAGACCCAGAAUACUAUACCACAGGGCUUCUGAACGAGAAGAGCGAUGUGUAUAGCUUUGGGGUAGUCCUCAUGGAACUGCUCUCAGGUCAAAAGGCAUUGUGCUUUGAACGGCCACAGGCUUCAAAACAUUUGGUGAGUUACUUUGUUUCUGCCACGGAAGAGAAUAGGUUGCAUGAGAUUAUUGACGACCAAGUGUUGAACGAGGAUAAUCUGAAGGAGAUCCAGGAAGCUGCAAGAAUUGCUGCAGAGUGUACAAGGCUAAUGGGAAAAGAAAGGCCAAGGAUGAAAGAAGUAGCUGUAGAGCUAGAAACUUUGAGCGUCAAAACAACCAAACAUAAUUGGUCGGAUCAGUAUCGAGAGGAGAAUUUACACUUGCUUGGUAGCAACAUCGUGUCUUCCCAAGGCGAUACCAAUAGCCGUGGUUAUGACAGCGUCAAGAAUGUAGCAUUGCUUGACAUUGAAGCUGGCCGCUGAUAAAUUUUGUUUGUUAAAAAGUAUAUUGUUUAAUUCUUUAUUGUUUAUCUCCUUUUGUCUUUAUAAACAUAACCAGAAUAUCAAAACAUGACAUUCAAAAACAUUGAUAUCCUUGUAGAUCAUCCAUAUAUACUCAUGUUCACAAUUCUCCUAUAUUUUUAUAUGCUAACCAGUAGCUGAUUAGGUAUUAGAAAAACUACCUAGAGUUCAUAAAUAUGAUUCCAUACGACAUUAAUAUAUCAUUGUGCUUAAUUAUAAAGAAAAACAAAACAACUCGAGAAGAAAAAACACUAGAAUUUAAAGUAGGCGUCAAAAACAGAGGAGAGUAAGUAUACUAUGAAUAUGAUCAUCGAAAUCUUCAGCACCUGGUCGAGUUCAUCGUAGAUACCGCUUCCUCAAACCAAACCAUAUGAUUCUUUGUUAGUUGCUUGGUAAACUAAAAAAAUAAAAGACUCAUUUGGUGCAAACUUCAUAUUUGAUCUACAGCUUGAGUCAUCAUGUUUCGUUACUCAUCUACAACCCAUCAUUCUUGUUGCAUAAGAUUGCUUGAUAUUGUAUAUCACAUCAAAUCUCUUAAUUUGUUUCUUGUUAAAAUAUAUGAUUUUUAGUAAGUGUUAGUCAGCAAUCCUACGAUUAUUGGCAGGUUAGUCACCAAUCAAAGCAUGAUCACUUGUUGUCUACUUCCAUUUGAUUACCCCAAUUCAUGUUUAUUGACUUACUAAUAAUACCAAGCACGUAUUCAGACUAAAAUUAUCUUAGAACCAACUUCAGUGGAUGAAGAUAAAAGUUGGGGAAAGUGCAGACUCAAAUAUUAAAGGAAUCUCAAUUCUCAGUUUUAACUUUUACUUGUAUGUUUGGUAAUGCUUUUACCUUUGGUUGCAUGCUGCAAAAGUGAUUUACUCUGUCCCAAGACUGAACUUCAACUUGUGUAUAUGAUUCAAUUAGACAAAGGGAGAGGAAAGUAGUGAGUUUUUGUCCAGCUCACUGACAAUGUAUCGAUAUGAUGUCUUUAGACUUUGCUUUUUCGUGUAACUACUCAAUUUAUGCAAUGAUGAAUCAGUUUUUGUCUUGUACCUGCGUUUAAUAAAAAGAAGAAGAGUUUUACAAAAAACAAGAGUAUUUUCUAGUCAUAGACCUAGUUAGUCUCUAACUAAUGGAGAUGCCCUAAUGUCCCACGAUCCGGAGAAACAUGUAAAAUCCGUUUUCAUCGUCAUUAUCGUAGUUAUUCAGUUAACAUGAGCUAUAUAUUUAACUCUUAAGAUUAGGUAAAUGUAUGUUUCCUUUCUUAUGGAGUAAAAGAUCAAUUGACAUGUAUGUCAUCUUCUUGUUGCUCAGGUAUAUAUAUAUUACUCUUCUCUUUGUAAUCAUCUAAAUGUAAAACUCUUAAACUUCGAUUUGUGACUCGAAAUGUCUAAAUGUGAUGUUAUAAUAUGGGGAAAAAAAACUCGUAAUAAAAGCAUCAGAAGAAAACAGAGCAUGUUGUGAUCACAGGAUUCAGGAGUCUUAAUUUCUACAUAUAGUCAUUAUAGUUAAAAGGCAAUUUUCAUAUCGUCUAACUAAUUAAUAUAUAAUUAAGAUUAGUUUAAGCUUAAUUUGAGGUGGAAAGAUCUGUUAAGAAAAAGAGUAAAUUUGCCUUGUGAUAUCCAGAAAAGAACAGAGGACCAAGACAUUUGAAGAUUCCUUCCAACUAUCAACUGUCUUAAUCUUUGAAUAGUAAGCAAGUAAGUGUCACUCACUAUUAUUAAUUAACAAAAGCAAAUUGGUUUCCUCACUAGCGAACAAGAUAUCAAUAAAAGACGAGAAGACCGAGACCUGUAGUUGUCCUCACUAACGAACAAGAUAUCAAGAAAAGACGAGAAGACCGAGACCUAUAGACUAUAGUUGUCACUGUUUAACCGAAGCAAACGUGGAUGUUAGGAUACUAUACAGGAAUAAGCAGCAGCGUACUUAAACGUCCUCUUCACUGGUUACGUUGGUUGUGUAGUUGAAUUUUAGUCUUCUUGCAAUUUCUGGGAAAAUGGGAAGGGGCCUGCGAAAAUGAGUGAGAGAGAACAUCUCGUAUACAGUUGUUUCUUAUAAGAACAAGGAGAUUAGCGAAAAAAACUCAAAAGAGGAACAGAGUUAGAGAGAGAGAGAGAGAGAGAAAUAAAGAGAGAAGAGAGGUAGAAGAUGAAGGUGCAGGAGGGUUUGUUCUUGGUGGCUAUUUUCUUCUCCCUUGCGUGUACGCAGCUGGUGAAGGGGCAACAUCAACCUGGUGAGAAUUGCCAAAAUAAAUGUGGCAACAUCACAAUAGAGUACCCUUUUGGCAUUUCUUCAGGUUGUUACUAUCCCGGAAAUGAAAGUUUCAGUAUCACCUGUAAGGAAGAUAGGCCACAUGUCUUAAGCGACAUUGAAGUGGCAAACUUUAAUCACAGCGGCCAGCUACAAGUUCUGCUUAAUCGAUCCUCUACUUGCUACGACGAGCAAGGAAAAAAAACUGAGGAGGACAGUUCUUUUACACUGGAAAAUUUAUCUCUUUCCGCCAACAACAAGUUAACUGCAGUAGGCUGUAACGCUUUAUCACUUCUGGACACUUUUGGAAUGCAAAACUACUCAACUGCAUGCUUGUCAUUAUGCGAUUCUCCCCCAGAGGCUGAUGGAGAAUGUAAUGGUAGAGGUUGCUGCAGAGUCGACGUUUCUGCCCCGUUGGAUAGCUAUACAUUCGAAACUACAUCAGGUCGCAUCAAGCACAUGACUUCUUUUCACGACUUUAGUCCUUGCACCUACGCUUUUCUCGUUGAAGAUGAUAAGUUCAACUUCAGUUCUACAGAAGAUCUUCUGAAUCUGCGAAAUGUCAUGAGGUUCCCUGUGUUACUAGAUUGGUCUGUUGGAAAUCAGACAUGCGAGCAAGUUGGAAGCACAAGCAUAUGCGGUGGGAACAGCACUUGUCUCGAUUCUACUCCUAGAAACGGGUAUAUCUGCAGAUGCAAUGAAGGCUUUGAUGGGAAUCCAUACCUUUCAGCUGGUUGCCAAGGUUCUUCUUUCUUUCAUGUUCUGAGUAGUAAUAUUUUUCCCAUUACAUAUCUUGUUGAAUCUUGCGUUCUUUUUCUUUGUGCCAGACGUCAAUGAGUGUACUACUAGUAGUACUAUCCAUAGACAUAACUGUUCGGAUCCCAAAACCUGUAGAAACAAGGUUGGAGGCUUCUAUUGUAAGUGUCAAUCUGGUUACCGCUUAGAUACCACCACUAUGAGCUGCAAGCGUAAAGAGUUUGCAUGGACUACAAUUCUUCUUGGUAAGUUUCCCUCACUAUUUCUCGACUUGAUGUUUCCCAGAUCAACUUAUUAUAAUCAUCUCUCUGAAUCUACGAUGUGUGUGAUCAGUAACCACCAUCGGCUUCUUGGUCAUUCUGCUUGGCGUUGCCUGUAUACAACAGAGAAUGAAGCACCUGAAGGACACCAAGCUCCGAGAACAAUUCUUCGAGCAAAAUGGUGGCGGCAUGUUGACACAACGACUCUCAGGAGCAGGGCCGUCAAAUGUUGAUGUCAAAAUCUUUACUGAGGAUGGCAUGAAGAAAGCAACAAAUGGUUAUGCUGAGAGCAGGAUCCUGGGUCAGGGUGGCCAAGGAACAGUGUACAAAGGGAUAUUGCCGGACAACUCCAUAGUUGCUAUAAAGAAAGCCCGACUUGGAGACAGUAGCCAAGUAGAGCAGUUCAUCAAUGAAGUGCUCGUGCUUUCACAAAUCAACCAUAGGAACGUAGUCAAGCUCUUGGGCUGCUGUCUAGAGACUGAAGUUCCCUUGUUGGUCUAUGAGUUCAUCACCAAUGGCACCCUUUUCGAUCACUUGCAUGGUUCCAUGAUUGAUUCUUCGCUUACAUGGGAACACCGUCUGAAGAUAGCAAUAGAAGUCGCUGGAACUCUUGCAUAUCUUCACUCCUCUGCUUCUAUUCCAAUCAUCCAUCGGGAUAUCAAAACUGCAAAUAUUCUUCUGGAUGUAAACUUAACUGCAAAAGUAGCUGACUUUGGUGCUUCAAGGCUGAUACCAAUGGAUAAAGAAGAGCUCGAAACUAUGGUGCAAGGCACUCUAGGUUACCUAGACCCAGAAUAUUACAACACAGGGUUGUUAAACGAAAAGAGCGAUGUUUAUAGUUUUGGGGUCGUCCUAAUGGAACUGCUCUCAGGUCAAAAGGCAUUGUGCUUUAAACGGCCACAGUCCUCAAAACAUCUGGUGAGUUACUUUGCGACUGCCACAAAAGAGAAUAGGUUGGAUGAGAUUAUUGGCGGCGAAGUGAUGAACGAGGAUAAUCUGAAGGAGAUCCAGGAAGCUGCAAGAAUUGCUGCAGAGUGUACAAGGCUAAUGGGAGAGGAAAGGCCAAGGAUGAAAGAAGUAGCUGCAAAGCUAGAAGCCUUGAGGGUCGAAAAAACCAAACAUAAGUGGUCGGAUCAGUACCCUGAGGAGAAUGAACACUUGAUUGGUGGUCACAUCUUGUCAGCACAAGGCGAAACCAGUAGCAGCAUUGGCUAUGACAGCAUCAAGAAUGUAGCAAUAUUGGACAUUGAAACUGGCCGCUGAUAUUACAAAUUCACAUGUAUUUCUUUUGUUUGUAAGAAAAAAAAAACUACCUCUUUGUUGCUUCAUCAAUAAUGCUUUGCUUCAUUAAUAAUGAUUUGAAAGAAUUUUUAUAAAUCAUCAAUAACCAUGUUUGUAAUUCCCAUUGGUAUACUAACCAGUAGCCAAUCUGGUUAUAGGCAAACUUAGAAACUCUUUUGCAAAAUAGCAGAUUACCAAUAUCAGUUCAUAAAUCUUAUUCCAUAUGACAUUGAUGUUAUCAAAAACAACUAGAUAAGAAACACUAGAAUCUUUACAAAAAGAAAUGCAUAACAUAUAGAGAAAGUUAUGAUCAUGAACCUGGUUCCUAAAUUCUUCAUCUCCUGUAUCUCUUCAUCGUCAAUUCUGCUCCUUUAACCAUAUUGUAAGCUUCGUAAAGUGGCGGAGGAGGUUUCUUGAGCAUGAUUGUUAUCCUCACAACCUCAAACUCUUUGUUCAACCCCAUCAAAAACUCGUAACGCUGCUCCUUCUCUCUCGCUUCUUUAGCUAGUUUCGUACUCUCGCAAUUGCAACCACCGCACUUACACUCAGGUACAGGAGCAUACUCCGACAACUCCAUCCAAACUUUACUCAGUUUCCCAAAAUACUCCUCAACAGAAUCACCACCUUGCCUCAACGUCGCGAGCCUCCGACGAAGCUGGUAGAUCUUCAAAUCGACGCAAGGAACGAAUCUAAGUCUGAGAUUUUCCCACGCUUGAUGAGCAGUCUUCGCGUACAUCACAGACUUUACAAGCUCUUCGCUCAUCAAAUUCAUCAGCCAAUACUUAACUAUUGUGUCGCAUCGUUUCCAUGGAUGAUAGAGCGGCGAGGAAGGUUCUGGCUGCGGGAGAGUACUGUCAAUGAAACCGAUUUUGUUCGUGAGUUCGAGAAAAGAGCGAAAUCGAAAUUUCCAGAUGACGUAGUUGUCUUCGGCUUCGCUGAGUUUUUCGAUAGAGAAAUCGGAGGGUUGAUUAAUAUCUGGAGGGAGAUAAUACGGUGAAUCGGGGUCGGAUAAUGGAGAUACGCUCUUGAUAGUUUCCGCCAUUGUCGUCACUGAGCUCUGCUUCUAAAACUCUAGGGCUUGCCCUUUUUUAUCCCUUUCGAUUUUGACUAACAUUAAACAAAUCAUUUUCAAAAUGAGAAAGAGAAAAAAAAAAAAAAAAAAAGAUAAAGAGUUGGGCUUAAUGGGCCUUGAGUUUCCCUCCGGAGCCCAACAAAGCCCCUAGGGAAGCUAGCGUCGAUUGCAAGAAACGCAUAUGCUUCUUUCCAACGUUUUGAUUUGUGGAUACUAGAGAGGAUGUCAAUAAACAUGAUUGGUCCAAGCAAACAGUUGAUCUUCCCUUCCCUUUGGUUGAUAUGAGUUCCCUGGCACCAACAAGGUUGGUGAAAUCAUUUCCCCCAAAAUGUAUACCACCCAUUCUUCAACUUUCCUUCUUCAUAAUGGACUCAUACACGAUAUGUGCGUCUCUAUCUCACCCGAACCUUGUUUUUCUUCAAGGACCUUAAUGUGUAAGAGCUUGACAGACUCUGUUUUUUUCUUCUUUGAAUCAAUAUAUAAGCGUUGGCUUUUCAACAUCAAGCAAACUAGUUUUUUAUCUUACCAUUGAUGAUUUGCAUUUUCUGACAUGUGUUAUUUCUUUUUAUUGUUGUUCAUAUUUUGAGUGUUUUGUUUGUUUUUGCUCAGAAGGUAUUAUAUGCACAAGAUUUCAUUGAACUGUAUGCUGCAGAUAAUCAUCGAGAAGCUCGUUUAUCUAUGAGGAUUAAGCCAUUGUGGAAGUUUUGGAAAACCUAAUCUUAACUAUCAUUUGUCUUAACUACCAAUAGGUCUAAUUCUAAAAGACAGUGGAAAUAAAAAAGCAGGGAAGAGAAGGGUUAGGUGAAGGUGGUCUACAUAAUUUGCCUGGAAAUCAAGAAAAGUAAGAGAAGGAUAUUGGAGCGGACCAUAGCACAUGAAGAUGAAACAUUCUAAUGGGGCUCCCAUUUUAAAAGGGUCCCACAGAAAUUUUAUUGUAAUUAAAUAUACAUAUAUAUAUAUAUUGAUUUUUAAUAGGAGAAAUAGUUAGUUUUAUACAUAUUAAUCUUAAAUAAUAGUGUGAUCCAAAAUAUUUAUAAAUCUAACAUACAAUUAAAUAAAUAAUUCAGAGUUUUGUUUAAAUUGGUUUCUAUUUACUCUAUAGUUUUAAAGACAAAAGUACUUUGUUUUCGUAAUUUAAAUGGCCCGAAUUUCAUUGGUCCGGCUCUGUAAAAUAAUAUUUACUAUUGCAGAUUCCUGCAAUUAUUGGGAAAAUGGGGACUAGUCAACGGAAGCAAGUCAAGAGAACAUAUCAAGAAUGGAGUGUGUUUUCUUAGCUUUAAGAAGCAGAUGCUACGGAGAGAUGAGAGAAAACUCAAAGAGAAACAAAUUUAGUGAGACAAAGAGAGAAGGAGAAGAUGAAGUUGCAAGAGGGUCUGAUCUUGGUGGCAUAAUGCUUUAUGACUCAAAAUGUCUAAAUGUGGGGAAAAAAACAAGUCGUAAUAAAAGCAUCAUAAGAAAACAGAGCAUGUUGUGAUCAGGAUUCAGGAGUCUCAAUUCCUAUAUCGUCAUUUUAAAAGGCAAUUUUCAUAUUUUGAGCGUGAAAUUAACUGUUAAGAAAAAGAGUAAAUUUGCCUUGUAAUAUCGAGAAAAGAAGAGAGGACCGAGACUGAAGUUGACUUAAGAGGGUCUUCAUAAUUGAAGAUUCCUUGCAAGUUGCAACUGUCUUAAUCUUUGAAUAGUAAGAAAAUAAGUGUCACUGUUAACAAAAUUAAAUCGGUUUCCCCACUAACGAAAAAAAUAUCAAGAAUGACGAGAAGACCAAGACCUAUAGUUGUCACUGUUUAAAUACUAUACAGGAAUAUGCAGCAAACGUCCUCUUCACGCCUCAUGGGUUACAUUGGUUGUGUAGUUGAAUUUUCGUCUUCUUGCAUUAUAUGACAAAAUGGGAGCGGGCCUGCGAAAAUGAGUGAAGAGAACAUUUCAUAUACAGUUGUUUCUAAUAAGAAAAAGGAGAUUAGCGAAAACUCAAAACAGGAACAAAGUUAAAAGAGUGAGAGAGAAAGAAAGAGAGAAGAUGAAGGUACAGGAGGGUUUGUUCGUGGUGGCUGUUUUCUACCUUGCUUAUACGCAGCUAGUCAAGGGGCAACCUCGCAAGGAGUGCCAAACUAGAUGUGGCAAUGUCGCAGUUGAGUACCCUUUUGGUACUUCUCCAGGUUGUUACUAUCCCGGAGAUGAAAGUUUCAAUCUUACUUGCAACGAGCAAGAGAAGCUCUUCUUUGGCAACAUGCCAGUCAUCAACAUGUCUCUCAGCGGCCAGCUUCGUGUUCGGCUAGUUAGAUCCAGAGUUUGCUACGAUAGUCAAGGAAAACAGACUGACUACAUUGCCCAGCGGACCACCCUGGGUAAUUUCACUCUCUCUGAACUUAACAGAUUUACUGUAGUAGGUUGUAACAGUUACGCAUUUCUCCGCACAUCUGGAGUUGAAAAAUACUCAACUGGAUGCAUAUCAAUAUGUGAUUCUGCCACAACGAAAAACGGAUCAUGUUCUGGUGAAGGUUGCUGCCAGAUCCCUGUCCCUAGAGGAUACUCUUUUGUCAGAGUAAAACCACAUAGCUUUCACAACCAUCCUACUGUGCAUCUGUUUAAUCCUUGCACCUACGCCUUUCUCGUUGAAGAUGGUAUGUUUGACUUCCAUGCUUUGGAAGAUCUCAACAAUCUGCGAAAUGUUACUACGUUCCCUGUAGUACUAGAUUGGUCUAUCGGAGACAAGACUUGCAAACAAGUAGAAUACAGGGGCGUGUGUGGUGGUAACAGCACAUGUUUCGAUUCUACUGGUGGAACCGGGUAUAACUGCAAAUGUUUAGAAGGUUUUGAGGGGAAUCCAUACCUUCCAAACGGUUGUCAAGGUACUUUAACUUGUUUUCUGUUUUAUCACUUCUUUUAAUCGUUUACUUCAUACAUGCUCUUUUUCCUUGGCCAGACAUCAAUGAAUGUAUUAGUAGUAGACAUAACUGUUCGGAGCAUAGUACCUGUGAAAACACGAAGGGGAGCUUCAACUGUAACUGCCCAUCUGGUUACCGCAAAGAUUCCCUUAAUAGCUGUACUCGUAAAGUCAGGCCUGAAUACUUUAGAUGGACUCAAAUUUUUCUUGGUAUGUUCCCCUCACUGGUUUCGGAUACUUUCCUUUUAAAAAACUAGCUCUAAUUACCUAGGUGUGAUGUGAUCAGGAACCACCAUCGGCUUCUCGGUUAUCAUGCUUGGGAUUAGCUGUCUACAACAGAAAAUUAAGCACCGGAAGAACACAGAGCUCCGACAAAAAUUCUUCGAGCAAAAUGGUGGAGGCAUGUUGAUACAGCGAGUCUCGGGAGCAGGGCCAUCAAAUGUUGAUGUCAAAAUCUUCACUGAGAAAGGAAUGAAGGAAGCAACUAAUGGUUACCAUGAGAGCAGAAUCCUGGGUCAGGGAGGCCAAGGAACAGUGUACAAAGGGAUAUUGCCGGACAACUCCAUAGUUGCUAUAAAGAAAGCUCGGCUUGGAAACCGUAGCCAAGUAGAGCAGUUCAUCAACGAAGUGCUAGUGCUUUCACAAAUCAACCAUAGGAACGUGGUCAAGGUCUUGGGGUGUUGUUUAGAGACAGAAGUCCCCUUGUUGGUCUAUGAGUUCAUUAACAGUGGUACCCUUUUCGAUCACUUGCACGGUUCCUUGUAUGAUUCUUCACUUACAUGGGAGCACCGUCUGAGGAUAGCAACAGAAGUAGCAGGAAGUCUUGCAUAUCUUCACUCUUCUGCUUCUAUUCCAAUCAUCCACCGAGAUAUCAAGACUGCUAAUAUUCUCCUGGAUAAAAACUUAACUGCAAAAGUAGCUGACUUUGGUGCAUCAAGAUUGAUACCGAUGGAUAAAGAGCAGCUCACAACAAUAGUGCAAGGCACUCUAGGUUACCUAGACCCAGAAUAUUACAACACAGGGUUGUUAAACGAAAAGAGCGAUGUUUAUAGUUUUGGGGUCGUCCUAAUGGAACUGCUCUCAGGUCAAAAGGCAUUGUGUUUCGAAAGACCACAUUGCCCAAAAAAUC